Molecule: ribosomal RNA, 253 nt
Filed under: uncultured bacterium
Lineage: Bacteria
Description: partial 16S ribosomal RNA
Rfam family: Bacterial small subunit ribosomal RNA
Source: RNAcentral
UACGAAGGGGGCUAGCGUUGCUCGGAAUCACUAGGCGUAAAGCGCACGUAGGCGGACUCUUAAGUCGGUGGUGAAAUCCUGGAGCUCAACUCCAGAACUGCCUUCGAUACUGAGAGUCUCGAGUCCGGGAGAGGUGAGUGGAACUGCGAGUGUAGAGGUGAAAUUCGUAGAUAUUCGCAAGAACACCAGUGGCGAAGGCGGCUCACUGGCCCGGUACUGACGCUGAGGUGCGAAAGCGUGGGGAGCAAACAGG